GACCCAGCCCUUCCGUCUGCGUGCCCCAGGGCCAGCUCAUUCCAGCCAGCUGCGGGCCACCUCAAGGGUUCCACUCAGAGUAUAAUCAAAUCGUGAUCGACCGAGGCCAUCGGCACCGCCUCUCUGCAACCUCUGCACAGCCUCUGUGCUGCUGCCCCCGGGGCGAUCGUAGGAUCCAGAAGCUGCCAGCAAGCAAGCAAGCCCUCCUCAAAAGCGCUGCUCGGUGGGACUCCUUCCUGCUGCACCUCAUCCUUCCUGGAGGCGGUGCGACAGCCCGCGCCUCCCCCUGCCAGGAAAGGGAUCCGUCCCCGCCAGAAGCGGGGAGAUGAGGCGGCCUCAAGGAUUUCAGAAUGACUACCCAAUAGAUAUGAUACCUCUGGACUCCCAUAACACAGGUAACACGACCUCUCCUGACAACUGUGGCUAAGUUAAUCUACUACCUGGUGGGUCAGCACAACCCAGAGGACUGUUCCAAGACCCAGCCUUCCUGGCAUCCAGGAAGGAAUGUUUCCAAACAUCCAAGAAGUUUUCAAGGAACUUUCGACUGAUAACAAUGAGAUGCUGAACUCUGACUCCAACAAAAUGAACUUAAUUAAACAGAAAUACAACAGGGGUUUGUGUGUGGAUGAGUCCCAUGGACUGUGGCAUCAGCUGACCACGUGUCCAAUAUAUCCCAGUUGCAUACAUGGCUCAUGAUACCGAAAUUCCAUCUCCAGCCCAGACUUCUUCCUUUGAGCCCGACUCAUGACCAACUGCCUACUCAACAUCUCUACUUAAGUAUGCAGCAGGCAUCUCCAACUUUUAACAUGGUCAAAACCAAACUCUUGAUCUUCUCCAACUCAGUCCUCCUCCAGGCUUCAGCAGCUCAUUUAAUGGUGGCUCCAUCCUUCCAGGUGCUCAGGCUGAACCCAGAGGCAACCUUGCCUGUCUCUUCCUCUCAGGUUCCACAGCCCAACAUCCAAGAUAUACAGCUCUACCUUCGAAAGAGCUCUUUCCCGACUCCAACUGCAUAACACUGCCAUCCCACCGUCCUCCUGGUCAAAGCCACUUUCACCUCUUGCCUGAAACAGCAUGGACUCUGCUGCUGGUCUCCCUCCUUCUGUCCCUGGCACUCUCUGGUCUAUUUUCCGCAUAGCCGCCAGAGGAAUCUUAAUAAAUCCUGAGCAGACCGUGUCA
Molecule: long non-coding RNA, 1176 nt
Organism: Suricata suricatta (meerkat)
Lineage: Eukaryota; Metazoa; Chordata; Mammalia; Carnivora; Herpestidae
Exons: 2
Source: RefSeq, a predicted model, not a curated record